GUAGCCACUCAAGCAUCUGACCUUUAUUGGUAUCCACACAAAGAUAUUUUGAUUAGAACUCUAAGACUCCUGGGAUGCUAGCUCUCUUGUAGGCUUCAUUUUUCGGCUUAAAUUAGGGCACUUUACUUGAUAUAACUUGAAGCAGCCCUAUAUAGGAUCUUGGGGAUUGAUCCUAACCAUCAAAAAAAAUUAAGAAAUCUUUUUUUGAUUUUUUUUCUCUCUGCACUCUCUCAGAUCUCUAUUUAAUGUGGAAUAGGCUUGUGGAAAGAAGAGGACAUGAUUGUUGGCAUGAAGGAAGAAGGGGGCGGCA
RNAcentral lists this long non-coding RNA (310 nucleotides) under Elaeis guineensis (African oil palm). Its description in RNAcentral is "long non-coding RNA (EGUI_LNC045314)". Lineage: Eukaryota; Viridiplantae; Streptophyta; Magnoliopsida; Arecales; Arecaceae. The record is from RNAcentral.